RNAcentral lists this ribosomal RNA (497 nucleotides) under uncultured bacterium. RNAcentral's name for it is "partial 16S ribosomal RNA". It matches the Rfam family "Bacterial small subunit ribosomal RNA", at positions 899 to 1397 of the family's 1533-position model. The record is from RNAcentral.
ACUCAAAUGAAUUGACGGGGGCCCGCACAAGCGGUGGAGCAUGUGGUUUAAUUCGACGCAACGCGAAGAACCUUACCCAGGCUCGAAAUGCAGGGGACAGACGGUGAAAGCCGUUUUCCGCAAGGACUCCUGUAUAGGUGCUGCAUGGCUGUCGUCAGCUCGUGUCGUGAGAUGUUGGGUUAAGUCCCGCAACGAGCGCAACCCUUGUCUACUGUUGCCAUCAGGUUAAGCUGGGCACUCUGUAGAGACUGCCGGUGAUAAACCGGAGGAAGGUGGGGAUGACGUCAAGUCAGCAUGGCCUUUAUGUCUGGGGCUACACACGUGCUACAAUGGCCGGUACAAAGCGUUGCAAGCCCGCGAGGGGGAGCUAAUCGCAUAAAGCCGGUCUCAGUUCGGAUUGUAGGCUGCAACUCGCCUGCAUGAAGUUGGAAUCGCUAGUAAUCGCAGAUCAGCAGGCUGCGGUGAAUACGUUCCCGGGCCUUGUACACACCGCCCGU